UACGAAGGGGGCUAGCGUUGCUCGGAAUGACUGGGCGUAAAGGGCGCGUAGGCGGCUGGUACAGUCAGAUGUGAAAUUCCUGGGCUCAACCUGGGGGCUGCAUUUGAUACGUGCUGUCUUGAGUUCGGAAGAGGGUCGUGGAAUUCCCAGUGUAGCGGUGAAAUGCGCAGAUAUCGGGAAGAACACCCGUGGCGAAGGCGGCUCUCUGGGACGGUACUGACGCUGAGACGCGAAAGCGUGGGGAGCGAACAGG
Molecule: ribosomal RNA, 253 nt
Filed under: uncultured bacterium
Lineage: Bacteria
Description: partial 16S ribosomal RNA
Rfam family: Bacterial small subunit ribosomal RNA
Source: RNAcentral